This 719-nucleotide ribosomal RNA is filed under the name Salmonella enterica. RNAcentral describes it as "partial 23S ribosomal RNA". It matches the Rfam family "Bacterial large subunit ribosomal RNA", at positions 689 to 1405 of the family's 2925-position model. The record is from RNAcentral. Lineage: Bacteria; Pseudomonadati; Pseudomonadota; Gammaproteobacteria; Enterobacterales; Enterobacteriaceae.
UGGGCGUUAAGUUGCAGGGUAUAGACCCGAAACCCGGUGAUCUAGCCAUGGGCAGGUUGAAGGUUGGGUAACACUAACUGGAGGACCGAACCGACUAAUGUUGAAAAAUUAGCGGAUGACCUGUGGCUGGGGGUGAAAGGCCAAUCAAACCGGGAGAUAGCUGGUUCUCCCCGAAAGCUAUUUAGGUAGCGCCUCGUGAAUUCAUCUCCGGGGGUAGAGCACUGUUUCGGCUAGGGGGCCAUCCCGGCUUACCAACCCGAUGCAAACUGCGAAUACCGGAGAAUGUUAUCACGGGAGACACACGGCGGGUGCUAACGUCCGUCGUGAAGAGGGAAACAACCCAGACCGCCAGCUAAGGUCCCAAAGUCAUGGUUAAGUGGGAAACGAUGUGGGAAGGCCCAGACAGCCAGGAUGUUGGCUUAGAAGCAGCCAUCAUUUAAAGAAAGCGUAAUAGCUCACUGGUCGAGUCGGCCUGCGCGGAAGAUGUAACGGGGCUAAACCAUGCACCGAAGCUGCGGCAGCGACACUGUGUGUUGUUGGGUAGGGGAGCGUUCUGUAAGCCUGCGAAGGUGGCCUGUGAGGGUUGCUGGAGGUAUCAGAAGUGCGAAUGCUGACAUAAGUAACGAUAAAGCGGGUGAAAAGCCCGCUCGCCGGAAGACCAAGGGUUCCUGUCCAACGUUAAUCGGGGCAGGGUGAGUCGACCCCUAAGGCGAGGCCGA